UAAGCGGAGGAAAAGAAACUAACAAGGAUUCCCCUAGUAGCGGCGAGCGAACCGGGAAGAGCUCAAAUUUAAAAUCUGGCGUCUUUCAGGCGUCCGAGUUGUAAUCUACAGAAGCGUUUUCCGUGCUGAACUGUGUCCAAGUCCCUUGGAAUAGGGUAUCAAAGAGGGUGAUAAUCCCGUACUUGACACAACAAUCAGUGCUCUGUGAUACGUUUUCUACGAGUCGAGUUGUUUGGGAAUGCAGCUCAAAAUGGGUGGUAAAUUCCAUCUAAAGCUAAAUAUAGGCGAGAGACCGAUAGCGAACAAGUACCGUGAGGGAAAGAUGAAAAGCACUUUGGAAAGAGAGUUAAACAGUACGUGAAAUUGUUAAAAGGGAAACGAUUGAAGUCAGUCAUGUCUAUUGGUUUCAGCUAGCUCUGCUAGUGUAUUACCAAUGGACGGGUCAACAUCAGUUUUAGUCGGUGGAAAAAGGCAUAGAGAAAGUAGCACCUCCGGGUGUGUUAUAGCUCUGUGUUGCAUACACUGACCGAGACUGAGGAAUGCAGCUCGCCUUUACGGCCGGGGUUCGCCCACGUUCGAGCUUAGGAUGUUGACAUAAUGGCUUUAAACGACCCGUCUUGAAACA
RNAcentral lists this ribosomal RNA (625 nucleotides) under Bullera coprosmae. RNAcentral's name for it is "eukaryotic LSU rRNA". It matches the Rfam family "Eukaryotic large subunit ribosomal RNA", at positions 47 to 661 of the family's 3401-position model. Lineage: Eukaryota; Fungi; Basidiomycota; Tremellomycetes; Tremellales; Bulleraceae. The record is from RNAcentral.